CCGGGGCCCUCAGGUGCUGCGGUUGCAGUUUUAGCAGGUCGAUUAGGUGUUUUGGUCCUAGAUACACUGCCUAGCGGUGCGGAUUGGCGGGCUCUGGCGUUACCGGCAGGGAUGUGAACACCACCAUCGUGGAGCUCCUGAUUAUGGUGUACACAUGGAAGACCUCUCAUGCCAAGAGCAUCAUCAGCGUGAUCUCCUGAUUUCCUUACAGCAAACAGUGCAAGAUAAGGAAAAGAGGCUCCAUCAUCUAAAUUCUUGGCCUCCAUGAUGUGCAAAGCUGAUCCCAGAUCAUAGGAAUGCAGUCAUUGUGGUCAAGUCUCCAUCCUCAGCUAAGAGAGAAGCCAGUCCAUUGGAGAGAGAAGGAACAAAAGCACAGAAAAAUGAGCAUGCUUGGUUGAUUCUCUCCUUUUCCUGAGGUGUAUCAAAAUCCUGAUCUUCUUGAAGGUGAGAAAUAAGGU
Marmota monax (woodchuck) is the source of this 458-nucleotide long non-coding RNA. RefSeq lists it as uncharacterized. The transcript is spliced from 5 exons. The record is from RefSeq and is a predicted model, not a curated record. Lineage: Eukaryota; Metazoa; Chordata; Mammalia; Rodentia; Sciuridae.